Molecule: unclassified non-coding RNA, 343 nt
Filed under: soil metagenome
Description: partial contains 5.8S ribosomal RNA, internal transcribed spacer 2, and large subunit ribosomal RNA
Rfam family: 5.8S ribosomal RNA (bases 1-120)
Source: RNAcentral
GAUGAAGAACGUAGCGAAAUGCGAUAAGUAAUGUGAAUUGCAGAAUUUAGUGAAUCAUCGAAUCUUUGAACGCACAUUGCGCCCGCCAGUAUUCUGGCGGGCAUGCCUGUUCGAGCGUCAUUUCAACCCUCAGGCCCCGCCUGGCGUUGGGGAUCGGCGCGGCCCUCUCCGGGCUGCCGGCCCCGAAAACUAGUGGCGGUCUCGCUGUAGUCCUCCUCUGCGCAGUAGCAACGCUCGCACUGGAACUCGGCGCGGCCACGCCGUAAAACACCCCACUUCUGAAAGUUGACCUCGGAUCAGGUAGGAAUACCCGCUGAACUUAAGCAUAUCAAUAAGCGGAGGA